RNAcentral lists this microRNA (24 nucleotides) under Medicago truncatula (barrel medic). Its description in RNAcentral is "mtr-miR5281a". The record is from miRBase by way of RNAcentral. Lineage: Eukaryota; Viridiplantae; Streptophyta; Magnoliopsida; Fabales; Fabaceae.
CUCUUGUAAAUAGGAUCGGAGGGA